Molecule: long non-coding RNA, 580 nt
Organism: Diprion similis
Lineage: Eukaryota; Metazoa; Arthropoda; Insecta; Hymenoptera; Diprionidae
Exons: 3
Source: RefSeq, a predicted model, not a curated record
CAGCCGAAUCGGGAUUCGAUAGGGAGUGAUUUUUACUAAUCGGUGAGGAUGUAUUCCUCGUGAUCAACAAUACGCACGAUUUCCAAUAGUAGUUGACUCACACUGGCACAUUUGACUAUACAUAGACUCGGGAGUUCGUUCGUCACUAAAUCCAGCAUCGACCGAUCUUCGCAACAAGGACAUCAACACUGCAACAAUGAACCCAUCGCACCGUGGUUCACAACUACGGGUCGGUCAUUUCCGGUGUGCUUCGUGUUUAUUCGGAUGUCCACGUUUUGUGUGGUGCAGAGACGAUAUUCUGAGAGACCAAACUCUUCGACAUGCUGUCCUGAGAUGCGAAUGCCUCUGUACCGACUAACCAAAGAACGCAGCCGCCCAGCUUCGGCUCCAGCAACUGAGUUCGACAUUCUUGAACCACGUGCUUCUCAAAGCGGGUUACGAUACCGGUGCUGCGCUCCUGCAGAUGACAAUGCAUUUCUCCAACAUCUCCAACAGCAAAAAUACAUCGUCGGAAAAUACAAAUUGGAAAGUCUAAGUGGAAUCGAGUCUUCGAAUCAAGUUUGUGUAAACACGAGGCCGU